Molecule: long non-coding RNA, 545 nt
Organism: Vidua chalybeata
Lineage: Eukaryota; Metazoa; Chordata; Aves; Passeriformes; Viduidae
Exons: 3
Source: RefSeq, a predicted model, not a curated record
GCUCCGCCCGGGCCGGGCGUGCCGGGCUGAGGGGCUCCCGGCCGCCCGUCCGGCGGCCCGCCCUGACACAGGCCGGGGAGUGCCGAGACAGCGAGGACUGGUCCCGCCUGGCACAGAGAACACCGCUCCGCAGCAGGAGAGCUGCCAGGAGGGCAGCACCGGUUCUAGGCUGGCUGCGGUAAUGAGGAGGAGCGAGACUGUAAUAGCACCGUGCUGGUUGCUCUCAAUGGGCGCCGUCAGAUCGCCUCCCACAUGAUCUCGUAUGCGCCACACGCGCAGGAACGCAUGAAGAACCAUUUUACAAUGAUUGAUGCAGAUAUAAAUGGACUUCUUCUGACUAAAGACUGGCCAACUCUAAUAUUAAGAAGUGUGUCAAGUUUGAGAAGUUCAUAUCUUAAAAGAGGGAAAAAGAAAUGCAAGCAGGAGUGACUCGAGAAGAAAAAUAGCAGUGCAGCACAGUGAAGGCUGUAGAUCCAUGAGGUAUCCCAUUGCCAAUCUCACCUCAUGCCACGUGCACUAAGAUAAAGAGCUGUGGUCUAAGAAAA